GGUUCGAUCCUGGCUCAGAUUGAACGCUGGCGGGAUGCUUUACACAUGCAAGUCGAACGGCAGCACGGAUGACUGGUCUGGUGGCGAGUGGCGAACGGGUGAGUAAUGUAUCGGAACGUGCCUAGUAGCGGGGGAUAACUACGCGAAAGCGUAGCUAAUACCGCAUACACCCUUCGGGGAAAGCGGGGGACCUUCGGGCCUCGCACUAUUAGAGCGGCCGAUAUCGGAUUAGCUAGUUGGUGGGGUAACGGCUCACCAGAGGCGACGAUCCGUAGCUGGUUUGAGAGGACGACCAGCCACACUGGGACUGAGACACGGCCCAGACUCCUACAGGAGGCAGCGGUGGGGAAUUUUGGACAAUGGGGGAAACCUGAUCCGGCCAUCCCGCGUGUGCGAUGAAGGCCUUCGGGUUGUAAAGCACUUUUGGCAGGAAAGAAACGGCGGGAUAAUACCCCGUGCAACUGACGGUACCUGCAGAAUAAGCACCGGCUAACUACGUGCCAGCAGCCGCGGUAAUGCGUAAGUGCAAGCGUUAAUCGGAAUUACUGGGCGUAAAGCGUGCGCAGGCGGUUCGGAAAGAAGAUGUGAAAUCCCAGAGCUUAACUUUGGAACUGCAUUUUUAACUACCGAGCUAGAGUGUGUCAGAGGGAGGUGGAAUUCCGCGCGACAGCAGUGAAAUGCGUAGAUAUGCGGAGGAACACCAGUGGCGAAAGGCAGCCUCCUGGGAUAACACUGACGCUCAUGCACGAAAAGCGUGGGAGCAAACAGGAUUAGAUACCCUGGUAGUCCACGCCUAAACGAUGUCAACUAGCUGUUGGGGCCUUCGGGCCUUGGUAGCGCAGCUAACGCGUGAAGUUGACCGCCUGGGAAUUACCCGGUCGCAAGAUUAAAACUCAAAGGAAUUGACGGGGACCCGCACAAGCGGUGGAUGAUGUGAUUAAUUCGAUGCAACGCGAAAAACACCACUACCCUUGACAUGUCUGGAAUCCCGAAGAGAUUUGGGAGUGCUGCGAGAGAACCGGAACACAGGUGCUGCAUGGCUGUGUUAGCUCGUGUCGUGAGAUGUUGGGUUAAGUCCCGCAACAGAGCGCAACCCUUGUCAUUAGUUGCUACGAAGAGGCACUCUAAUGAGACUGCCGGUGAUGACUGGAAACCGGAGGAAGGUGGGGAUGACGUCAAGUCCUCAUGGCCCUUAUGGGUAGGGCUUCACACGUCAUCACAAUGGUCGGGACAGAGGGUCGCCAACCCGCGAGGAGUAAUCCCAGGAAACCCGAUCGUAGUCCGGAUCACCCAGUCUGCAACUCGACUGCGUGAAGUCGGAAUCGCUAGUAAUCAUGAUCAUGUCGCGGUGAAUACGUUCCCGGAGUCUUACACCCCCGCCCGUCACACCAUGGGAGUGGGUUUUACCAGAAGUAGUUAGCCUAACCGUAAGGAGGGCGAUUACCACGGUAGGAUUCAUGACUGGGGUGAAGUCGUAACAAAGGUAA
This 1487-nucleotide ribosomal RNA is filed under the name uncultured Bordetella sp. Its description in RNAcentral is "partial 16S-23S ribosomal RNA intergenic spacer". It matches the Rfam family "Bacterial small subunit ribosomal RNA". The record is from RNAcentral. Lineage: Bacteria; Pseudomonadati; Pseudomonadota; Betaproteobacteria; Burkholderiales; Alcaligenaceae.